Molecule: ribosomal RNA, 465 nt
Filed under: uncultured bacterium
Lineage: Bacteria
Description: partial 16S ribosomal RNA
Rfam family: Bacterial small subunit ribosomal RNA
Source: RNAcentral
GACGAACGCUGGCGGCGUGCUUAACACAUGCAAGUCGAACGGAAAGGCCCUGCUUGCAGGGUCCUCGAGUGGCGAACGGGUGAGUAACACGUGGGUGAUCUGCCCUGCACUUCGGGAUAAGCCUGGGAAACUGGGUCUAAUACCGGGUAGGAGCCAUUUUUAGUGUGAUGGUUGGAAAGUUUUUUCGGUGUAGGAUGAGCUCGCGGCCUAUCAGCUUGUUGGUGGGGUAAUGGCCUACCAAGGCGGCGACGGGUAGCCGGCCUGAGAGGGUGGACGGCCACAUUGGGACUGAGAUACGGCCCAGACUCCUACGGGAGGCAGCAGUGGGGAAUAUUGCACAAUGGGCGCAAGCCUGAUGCAGCGACGCCGCGUGGGGGAUGACGGCCUUCGGGUUGUAAACUCCUUUCGCUAGGGACGAAGCUUUUUGUGACGGUACCUAGAGAAGAAGCACCGGCUAACUACGUG